CCCAAAUGUAAAUAAGGGCUUUAACCCUGUUGACUCUUUUAUCUUCUCAUUCUUCUUCAAGGACAUCACUGCAUGCAGCCUCUCCAUCACCAGUCGAAGAACAGCCACCGCCGCUGGCGUAGCCAUCGCUAAGACUGCUGCUGCCUCCCUCCUGUUACAACAAUCGAAGAACCAAGCUGCCGCCUCUACCUGUUGCUGUCGACGUCAACCACCGACUCGCCUCUCCCCUGUUUUCUCCCCUGUUGCUGAGACACAGAGAGAAAUCAAAUCACGGGUAAAAAGAGGGAACCAAACUCCUCAACUGUUUAAUCACCAGAUUCUGGUUAGCUUCAUUAACGCUUCUUUCCUUAUUUGAUUUUAUUGAUGCAAUUACAUUUAUCUGAUGCUAGGUUUGGAACUAUUGAGUGAUUCGGUUGCGCAUGAACUCCUUUCUCCACUUUUCUCAUUUUGUUUUCUGCAUCGAUGUUUGAAUUCUGUGUUACAUUGCUAUUGAAUCACCAUGGUUGAUAGUUUCAACGAUGUUAUAAUAAUGACUUUGAUAUUAAUUAGUUCUGAAGCUUUUCAUAUACUCCUAUGAUUAAAUCUUGUUGCAAUUUAAUAGAUGAAAAGCAACAGCAUAUUUUAGUGAAGCUGUAGAUUCAAGAAAUGUAGUAUAGGAAUCUUGGGAAAGUUUUUUGGAGGUUUUUACAGGGUAAUGCUUUUUUUUUUCAAUUAUUAUUUAAAAAUAUUGAAAUGAAAUGUUGUGGUAUUGUUUCUUUUUCUUCUUUCAUUGUUUUCUGUAGUUUUGAUGUAAAAUCUUGGGUUUUUUGUUUAUUUUAUUAUUAUUUUUUAAAGGUUAAUAUAUGGGAUGCAGGGAAAUGACUGUAUUCACAUAAGCUGAUACAAAUCUAUUUUUCUUUCUUUAAUGUCCGUGUUUUGAUCUUCAGUAUAAUCUUGGGGGAGUUCUUUCAAGGUGUUCAUUUUAUUUGGCCAAACAAAGAUGGUUUUCAUGUUAACUAACUAAUUCAAUUUUCAUGCUUAAAGUUCCUCUUUUUAUAUAGGUCAUAAAUGAAUAUUUUGGUUUGUUUAAGAGGAUAAAUUUUGACAGUGUAUUUGAUUUGGGGGGCAUUAUAAGAAAUGGAUGAACUUUGUAUAUGAACUUUGUAAUGGGGAAAUGUGUGUGCUUCCCGUGUUCAUUUUGCAUCGCCCGACAAAUCAUUGGUAGUUUGGUACUGUCUUGAGCUAAAGAGUUCAGUUUUGUAAUUAGUGAACUUUGAUUGGUUACCUCGUUGAUCUAUUUAUACCGUCUCGGCAAGAACUAUAUUGUUUAUCCCUGAUUGGUUAUUUCCAAGGCUAAUAUACCUCGAUCUAGUUAUGUUAUGUUGUGCUAGUUCAUAUAGGAGUUUCAGGUAGUCAAACAUAUUAUGAUUUCUAAUUGGGAAGUGGAUUGAGCUUUUUAUAGACUAUAGUUGUGCAGGAGCUAUUUAUAGUUGUGACCGGUGAACCAUCAACUUGAUGCUUUUUUAGCACAGUCCAGAAUCACAAUUCACAACUUGAAUGGCUAAUGGAUCUACCGCCUCUAGUUUUAAUAGUAUGCAGUGACAACAAAAUCUCAUUUUAUAUACUGAGUAGACUUUGCUCGUAACAAUAUCCCCCACCCGACAUUAUAUUAACAUAAGUAGAAAGAAUAUGAUUCCUCCUUGGCAGAAAUAAUGCUUCAUGUGUUUGAUGAAUACUCUUUCGAAUUGUUGGUUUCAACCAAAGUUGCAUAAUCACUCUGCUCUAAGAGUUUUGUUUUUAUUUAUUUAUUUUUUUU
Molecule: long non-coding RNA, 1795 nt
Organism: Arachis duranensis
Lineage: Eukaryota; Viridiplantae; Streptophyta; Magnoliopsida; Fabales; Fabaceae
Exons: 3
Source: RefSeq, a predicted model, not a curated record